Molecule: RNA transcript, 1159 nt
Organism: Corythoichthys intestinalis (scribbled pipefish)
Lineage: Eukaryota; Metazoa; Chordata; Actinopteri; Syngnathiformes; Syngnathidae
Gene name: myozenin-2-like
Exons: 7
Source: RefSeq, a predicted model, not a curated record
CAUCCUGACACCCAUUUAGUCACUCGGUGAGGUCGAGCCGCGGACCCCCGACCCCUCCCCUGUUCCCUGUGUGCCCACUCUGCUCACUGUCCAUCUUUUCCCACUCUUGGAGACUCCUGCCCCGCCGCCACCGGAACCUUCAGGGCAGGGGAAGCCAUGUCUCUUUUCUCCACCAUGACGACCGGGGAGAGGAAGCUUCAGGCUGCGGCAAUCUGCAGGGAGAUUCAAGGCCUGGAAGACGUGGAGAUGGAUCUCGGCAAGAAGGUGAGCGUGCCCCAGGACAUCAUGCUGGAGGAGCUGUCCCUGGAAUCUAAUCGGGGUUCACGGCUCUUCAAGAUGCGCCAGGAACGCUCCCGAAAGUACACCUUUGAAAACGUCCUCAACGACCGCAACACGCAGCUCAACAACACGACCGACUCGCCAGCUGAUAAAGGGAAUUCCACAGAGGACCGCAACUCUGCUGACAACGCGGUCGGCGUGCACCAGGCCUGCACGACAGAAACCGUGACAGAAACUGUGCCAGAUCCGCACAGCAUCGCGCCUGGGUACGGGGGUCCGUUGAAAGACGUCCCUCCGGAGAAAUUCAACAGCACGGCCAUCCCAAAGUCCUAUCACUCGCCGUGGGACCGGGCUCUUAUCAGAGACCUGACCCAAGAUGACACUCUCAUCUCCUGCGUUUCCGAACCCGAACCACCGGCGGACCUGCCGGGCUACAAAAGCUUCAAUAGAGUGGCCAUCCCAUUCGGCGGCUUCUCCAAGGCACCCGUCAAGACCCCGAAGGCGGAGUUCGUCGUGCCAGACUACCCCGACCUCAGAGGGGGCGCUUCGGCCUGUCGACCUUCUUUCAACCGAGCCGCUUUAGGGUGGCAGGCAGAAGGCGCGCCGGUCCCGGUCCCGGUCCCCGUCGUGUCCCAGGAGGCCACGAUUCCCCCUGAGUCAGAUGACCUUUGAUCCUGCUAGCAACAGUCAAAAUGAGGCACAACAACCUGUGGAGUAGUCACAAAUAAUCUUAAACAGGAAAAAGUCAACUUGGCUGAUGAAGGCUCAUCACAGUCUCCACUUUUGGCCGCACUCCAGAGUAACGCGGUCAAGUGCCAACCAGGAAGUGCUGCUUAUGUCAUGCACUUUUCUGCAGUAAGACCACAGAAUAAAAAAAGCA